RNAcentral lists this ribosomal RNA (329 nucleotides) under uncultured Streptococcus sp. Its description in RNAcentral is "bacterial SSU rRNA". It matches the Rfam family "Bacterial small subunit ribosomal RNA", at positions 1051 to 1382 of the family's 1533-position model. Lineage: Bacteria; Bacillati; Bacillota; Bacilli; Lactobacillales; Streptococcaceae. The record is from RNAcentral.
GUCGUCAGCUCGUGUCGUGAGAUGUUGGGUUAAGUCCCGCAACGAGCGCAACCCCUAUUGUUAGUUGCCAUCAUUCAGUUGGGCACUCUAGCGAGACUGCCGGUAAUAAACCGGAGGAAGGUGGGAUGACGUCAAAUCAUCAUGCCCCUUAUGACCUGGGCUACACACGUGCUACAAUGGUUGGUACAACGAGUUGCGAGUCGGUGACGGCGAGCUAAUCUCUUAAAGCCAAUCUCAGUUCGGAUUGUAGGCUGCAACUCGCCUACAUGAAGUCGGAAUCGCUAGUAAUCGCGGAUCAGCACGCCGCGGUGAAUACGUUCCCGGGCCUU